This 497-nucleotide ribosomal RNA is filed under the name uncultured bacterium. RNAcentral describes it as "partial 16S ribosomal RNA". It matches the Rfam family "Bacterial small subunit ribosomal RNA", at positions 28 to 507 of the family's 1533-position model. The record is from RNAcentral.
GAUGAACGCUGGCGGCGUGCCUAAUACAUGCAAGUCGAGCGAACAGACGAGUAGCUUGCUCCUCUGACGUUAGCGGCGGACGGGUGAGUAACACGUGGAUAACCUCCCUAUAAGACUGAGAUAACUUCGGGAAACCGGAGCUCAUACUGGUUAAUAUAUUGAACCGCUUGGUUCAAUAGUGAAAGACGGUUUUGCUGUCACUUAUAGAUGGAUCCGCGCCGCAUUAGCUAGUUGGUAAGGUAACGGCUUACCAAGGCAACGAUGCGUAGCCGACCUGAGAGGGUGAUCGGCCACACUGGAACUGAGACGCGGCCCAGACUCCUACGGGAGGCAGCAGUAGGGAAUCUUCCGCAAUGGGCGAAAGCCUGACGGAGCAAAGCCGCGUGAGUGAUGAAGGUCUUCGGAUCGUAAAACUCUGUUAUUAGGGAAGAACAAAUGUGUAAGUAACUAUGCACGUCUUGACGGUACCUAAUCAGAAAGCCACGGCUAACUACGUG